UUAAAUAAUUAAUUUAAAAGUGCCCGAAGCGUCAUGCUCGGGAUAAUAGGGAAAUCGGUGAAAGUCCGAUGCAGCCCCCGCUACUGUAACGCUGAUGAAAUUGUCAAAAACCACUGGUUUAAAAACUGGGAAGGGACAAGAGUAAAUAGAAGCGUAAGCCAGGAGACCUGCUUUUAAAUGUGAACGAUA
Molecule: non-coding RNA, 189 nt
Filed under: Domibacillus aminovorans
Lineage: Bacteria; Bacillati; Bacillota; Bacilli; Caryophanales; Bacillaceae
Source: RNAcentral